CAAGAUGAGAUUUCCCAUAGCGUAAGCUAGUAAGAUCCCUGAAAGAUGAUCAGGUUGAUAGGUUCGAGGUGGAAGCGAUGGUGACAUGUGGAGCUGACGAAUACUAAUAGAUCGAGGACUUAACCAU
RNAcentral lists this ribosomal RNA (127 nucleotides) under Bacillus wiedmannii. RNAcentral's name for it is "partial 23S ribosomal RNA". It matches the Rfam family "Bacterial large subunit ribosomal RNA", at positions 2800 to 2925 of the family's 2925-position model. Lineage: Bacteria; Bacillati; Bacillota; Bacilli; Caryophanales; Bacillaceae. The record is from RNAcentral.